Molecule: signal recognition particle RNA, 302 nt
Filed under: Vombatus ursinus (common wombat)
Lineage: Eukaryota; Metazoa; Chordata; Mammalia; Diprotodontia; Vombatidae
Description: Metazoan signal recognition particle RNA (ENSVURG00010020172.1)
Rfam family: Metazoan signal recognition particle RNA
About the family: The signal recognition particle (SRP) is a universally conserved ribonucleoprotein. It is involved in the co-translational targeting of proteins to membranes. The eukaryotic SRP consists of a 300-nucleotide 7S RNA and six proteins: SRPs 72, 68, 54, 19, 14, and 9.
Source: RNAcentral
GCCCAACUUGAUGCAAGCUUAUAAUCCCUGCUAUCAGGGGAGGCCGAGUCUGAGGGAAUCCCUUGACUUUGGGAGUUUUGAGUUAGAGUAGGGUUAAGGCCAAUUAGGUGUCCACACUAUGUUUAGCAACAAUAUGGGGAGCCCUCGGGAGUGGAAGGCCACCAGGCUGACUAAGGAGGGGCAAAUUAGCCCAGGUCAGAAAAAAUGGAGCAGGUUAAGGCUUCUGUACUGACUGGUACUGGGAAUGGGUCUGUAAGUGGACAUUGUCCUUCUGGCCCAGGAGAAACAGGGAGACUCAGUUU